GGGGUUGUGGCUCAGUGGUAGAGUCUCGCCUGGCAUGCGCGAGGCCCUGGGUUCAAUCCUCAAAACCACA
RNAcentral lists this transfer RNA (70 nucleotides) under Marmota monax (woodchuck). RNAcentral describes it as "tRNA.Ala". The record is from RNAcentral. Lineage: Eukaryota; Metazoa; Chordata; Mammalia; Rodentia; Sciuridae.